AACGAACGCUGGCGGCGUGGUUUAGGCAUGCAAGUCGAGCGAGAAAGUCCUUCGGGACGAGUACAGCGGCGAAAGGGUGAGUAAUAUAUAGGUAACCUACCUCUUGGACUCGGAUAAUUCCUGGAAACGGGUUGUAAUACGAGAUCGUCCUAUUGGGUCGCAUGGCCCGACUGGUAAAUGGUAGCUCUGCUUCUGCCGAGAGAGGGGCCUAUAUCCUAUUAGCUAGUUGGUGAGGUAAUGGCUCACCAAGGCUUUGAUGGGUAGCCGGACUGAGAGGUUGGCCGGUCACACUGGGACUGAGACACUGCCCAGACUCCUACGGGAGGCUGCAGUCGAGAAUCUUCCGCAAUGGGCGAAAGCCUGACGGGGCGACGCCGCGUGAACGAAGAAGGCCU
Molecule: ribosomal RNA, 395 nt
Filed under: uncultured bacterium
Lineage: Bacteria
Description: bacterial SSU rRNA
Rfam family: Bacterial small subunit ribosomal RNA
Source: RNAcentral